GACGAACGCUGGCGGCGUGCUUAACACAUGCAAGUCGAACGGAAAGAUCCCUUCGGGGAUACUCGAGUGGCGAACGGGUGAGUAACACGUGGGUAAUCUGCCCUGCACUUCGGGAUAAGCCUGGGAAACUGGGUCUAAUACCGGAUAUGACCACGAAGCGCAUGCCUUGUGGUGGAAAGCUUUUGCGGUGUGGGAUGGGCCCGCGGCCUAUCAGCUUGUUGGUGGGGUGACGGCCUACCAAGGCGACGACGGGUAGCCGGCCUGAGAGGGUGUCCGGCCACACUGGGACUGAGAUACGGCCCAGACUCCUACGGGAGGCAGCAGUGGGGAAUAUUGCACAAUGGGCGCAAGCCUGAUGCAGCGACGCCGCGUGGGGGAUGACGGCCUUCGGGUUGUAAACCUCUUUCAGCAGGGACGAAGCGCAAGUGACGGUACCUGCAGAAGAAGCACCGGCCAACUACGUGCCAGCAGCCGCGGUAAUACGUAGGGUGCGAGCGUUGUCCGGAAUUACUGGGCGUAAAGAGCUCGUAGGUGGU
RNAcentral lists this ribosomal RNA (536 nucleotides) under Mycobacterium tilburgii. RNAcentral describes it as "bacterial SSU rRNA". It matches the Rfam family "Bacterial small subunit ribosomal RNA", at positions 28 to 579 of the family's 1533-position model. The record is from RNAcentral. Lineage: Bacteria; Bacillati; Actinomycetota; Actinomycetes; Mycobacteriales; Mycobacteriaceae. RNAcentral also lists the same sequence under 1 other name.